RNAcentral lists this unclassified non-coding RNA (229 nucleotides) under Exophiala xenobiotica. RNAcentral's name for it is "sequence contains ITS1". The record is from RNAcentral. Lineage: Eukaryota; Fungi; Ascomycota; Eurotiomycetes; Chaetothyriales; Herpotrichiellaceae.
CGAGUUAGGGUCCAUCAAGGGCCCGACCCUCCCAACCCUUUGCUUAUUAUACCCUUGUGUUGCUUCGGUAGGUCUGGCCUCGUCCCUACCGGAGGACCGUCAAACGUCCUCUGGAGAGUGCCUACCGAUAGCCCAUACCAAAACUCUUGAACAAAACAUGUCUUGUCUGAGUACACCAAAAAAAUUAAAGCAAAACUUUCAACAACGGAUCUCUUGGUUCUGGCAUCGA